Molecule: transfer RNA, 75 nt
Filed under: Dehalococcoidia bacterium
Lineage: Bacteria; Bacillati; Chloroflexota; Dehalococcoidia
Description: tRNA-Thr
Rfam family: tRNA
About the family: Transfer RNA (tRNA) molecules are approximately 80 nucleotides in length. Their secondary structure includes four short double-helical elements and three loops (D, anti-codon, and T loops). Further hydrogen bonds mediate the characteristic L-shaped molecular structure. tRNAs have two regions of fundamental functional importance: the anti-codon, which is responsible for specific mRNA codon recognition, and the 3' end, to which the tRNAs corresponding amino acid is attached (by aminoacyl-tRNA synthetases). tRNAs cope with the degeneracy of the genetic code in two manners: having more than one tRNA (with a specific anti-codon) for a particular amino acid; and 'wobble' base-pairing, i.e. permitting non-standard base-pairing at the 3rd anti-codon position.
Source: RNAcentral
GCCAGCGUAGCUCAGAGGUAGAGCGGCGCUUUCGUAAAGCGCGGGUCGGGGGUUCGAUUCCCUUCGCUGGCUCCA